Drosophila navojoa is the source of this 252-nucleotide long non-coding RNA. Lineage: Eukaryota; Metazoa; Arthropoda; Insecta; Diptera; Drosophilidae. The record is from RefSeq and is a predicted model, not a curated record.
UGUUAAAAUUUUGCUGUUUUGCAAAAUCUUUAUAAAAGACGCCACCCACCUUGCUCGUUAUCAGAAAAAUGAGAUCGCAAGAUUCGUCCGAGCUCGCAUACCAAUAUUUCUAACGCAAGUUCUGCAAUUAUUACGCAAUACUCUGGAAGUAUUUAUUGGGCUAAGCAUUAAUGAAAAGGAAGAGCUAGUGAAUUACCUUGUACCUGAAAUUGAGUCUACUCUACGGAUUUUAGCUACUGUGAUAGAGGAAAU